CACCGCGGUUAUACGAGAGGCCCAAGUUGAUAAAUGCCGGCGUAAAAAGUGGUUAGUACUAUAUUUUACUAAAGCCAAACAUCUUCAAAACUGUCAUACGUUCUCGAAGACAGGAAGCUCUUCUACGAAAGUGGCUUUAAAUUAGACACACCACGAAAGCUAGGAAA
RNAcentral lists this ribosomal RNA (167 nucleotides) under Sicyopterus lagocephalus. RNAcentral's name for it is "partial 12S rRNA". The record is from RNAcentral. Lineage: Eukaryota; Metazoa; Chordata; Actinopteri; Gobiiformes; Gobiidae.